AUACAUACACAGUCAGCUGUGGCAUUCUCCCUUCCAAACGAUGAAAGAACAUAUUCUUAUUUAUUGGCAAAGCUGUCACCAUUUAAUUGGUAUCAGAUUCUACUUACACAAGUAACAUUC
This 120-nucleotide small nucleolar RNA is filed under the name Dasypus novemcinctus (nine-banded armadillo). RNAcentral's name for it is "Small nucleolar RNA SNORA24 (ENSDNOG00000026320.1)". It matches the Rfam family "Small nucleolar RNA SNORA24". From Rfam's summary of the family: ACA24 is a member of the H/ACA class of snoRNA that guide the sites of modification of uridines to pseudouridines. Lineage: Eukaryota; Metazoa; Chordata; Mammalia; Cingulata; Dasypodidae. The record is from RNAcentral.